RNAcentral lists this long non-coding RNA (498 nucleotides) under Sorghum bicolor (sorghum). RNAcentral's name for it is "long non-coding RNA (SBIC_LNC009244)". Lineage: Eukaryota; Viridiplantae; Streptophyta; Magnoliopsida; Poales; Poaceae. The record is from RNAcentral.
GGCGUAUGUCUCUGCUACUCAACUCCCAGCAAUUCAGAAUGAAUCUUCCAGUACAACUGUAGUAACUGACACUUCAUGAGGUCCAGGGGAGUGUACUACUGGACAAAAGCGUCAAGGAAAGAAGAGAUCAAGGUCAAGAUGAUCCUAUCCGACGAUGGGAGCUUAUCUGAGAUCCUUGUGCAGGGUGAUGACGUCCAAGUUGAGCAGAUGAGGAAGGAGCUCAAGUUCAGCGAGAAGGGGAUGAUAUAUGUGAAGGGCAUCUUUGAGACAUGACCGGGAGUUUGAUAUCUGUGAGUGAACAGUCGAGAUGAGUCUAUUUGCUGCAACGGAAACUGCAGAACUCAGGUGAGGAAAUGCAAAUUGGACGGGCAAAUCUGUACCUUGGCUUAAAGGAAAAGAAGUGAUCUUCAUACGGGAUUUGAUUAUUGUAAGUGUUGGCAGUAUGAGGAUAGUUUAUGUGUGAACUUGACUUUGUAAAAAGUUGAUGAGAAACACCUU